This 413-nucleotide ribosomal RNA is filed under the name Allobates femoralis group sp. ABGD cluster 9. Its description in RNAcentral is "partial large subunit ribosomal RNA". It matches the Rfam family "Bacterial large subunit ribosomal RNA", at positions 1834 to 2457 of the family's 2925-position model. The record is from RNAcentral. Lineage: Eukaryota; Metazoa; Chordata; Amphibia; Anura; Aromobatidae.
CUUGAUCAAUUAUAAGAGGUCAAGCCUGCCCAGUGACAUUGUUCAACGGCCGCGGUAUCCUAACCGUGCGAAGGUAGCGUAAUCACUUGUCCUUUAAAUAAGGACUAGUAUGAACGGCUUCACGAAGGCUAUACUGUCUCCUUAAUCUAAUCAAUUAAACUAAUCUCCCCGUGAAGAAGCGGGGAUUCGUCUAUAAGACGAGAAGACCCUAUGGAGCUUUAAACAUCUAAGACACUUGAUUAUAUCUACUAAACUUCAUGCAACCUAUCAUUUUGUCUUAAGUUUUAGGUUGGGGUGACCACGGAGAAAAAUUAAACCUCCACGUAGAAAGAAAAUUCUUUUCUAAGCAAAAAGCCACAUCUUAACGCAUCAAUAUAUUGACUUAAAUUGACCCAAUUUUUUGCUCAACGAAC